This 672-nucleotide ribosomal RNA is filed under the name Apiocera notata. Its description in RNAcentral is "partial 16S ribosomal RNA". Lineage: Eukaryota; Metazoa; Arthropoda; Insecta; Diptera; Apioceridae. The record is from RNAcentral.
AUGUCAACAUGAGCUAAUUUAGGACUACAGGAUAGAGCCUCCCCCUUAAUAGAACAAUUAACUUUCUUUCAUGAUCACACUCUUCUAAUUCUAGUAAUAAUCACUAUUUUAGUAGGCUACUUAAUAAUUAUAUUAUUUUUUAAUAACUACACUAACCGAUUCCUUCUACACGGCCAAUCUAUUGAAAUAAUUUGAACCAUCUUACCAGCUAUUGUUUUACUUUUUAUCGCCAUGCCCUCCCUCCGAUUACUUUAUCUUCUAGAUGAAAUUAAUGAACCUGUAUUAACUUUAAAAUCUAUUGGCCACCAAUGAUACUGAAGCUACGAAUAUUCUGACUUUCUAGAUCUAGAUUUUGACUCAUAUAUAAUUCCUCCUCACGAGCUUCCAGCCAAUGGAUUCCGACUACUAGAUGUUGAUAACCGAGUUAUUCUCCCUAUAAAUUCUCAAAUUCGGGUACUAGUUACCGCAGCAGAUGUCAUUCAUUCAUGAACCGUACCCUCUCUAGGUGUAAAAGUAGAUGGCACCCCUGGUCGAUUAAAUCAAACCAACUUCUUAAUUAACCGGCCAGGAUUAUUUUUUGGGCAAUGUUCUGAAAUCUGUGGGGCCAACCAUAGAUUUAUACCAAUUGUAAUUGAAAGUGUACCUGUUAGCCACUUCCUUAAAUGAAUCCUU